CGUGAUCUCUGCUAGAGCAAAGCGCGCCCUUUUUCUUCUUCCUCUUCUUCUCCCUCCCACACUGUCGAUUGCCAUGGACUCUCUCCACCACCAAAGAGCAGGAGCAUCCACAUCCAACCCGAAAUCGUCUAAAAGUACUAGUUGCUCGAGCGGGUCGGAUCCAGAGCCUGCUCCGAUUUGUCCUAAAUUCGGGCAACCUUCGUGAAUGGAUUGCGAAGCAGAGGCCUCCAUUCUUGGCAUGGCGGAAAACAUACAAUGUCAGAAAAUCCUGUGUCUCAACCAGUCCAACAUCAUGACAGAAAGUUUUCCAGCCUUUACUAAGGACAUAAAGAUCGGUGCCCCAAGUCGUGAACUUCAUUGGGUACUCCUUGCCUUCCAUGUCAUAAGUUGUCAAAUCGAUGCCUUCAUUAGGGUUUUCACCGUCUCUUAAUACUAGUUUGAUGUGAUUUUCAACGUAUUCUUUGUUCAAGCAGAGCCUGGGAGUUUUACUCACAUCACUGGGUGUUAGCUGUUUCUCAAAAGGCUUGCAGCAAUCUUGGAUUAAUUUUCGUAGGCUUGUGAUUGGUGGCAAAUCAGGAGGGGCAUAGUGUCCAUAGAACAAACCUCCUCCUCCUUCUUGUUGAAAUUGCAGUUCUCUUCGUCCUUGUGCAGCACCAUUAGUGGCUUCAGAUUCUUGGAUUCGUAGUGCCUUUUGCUUACUUCCGCUGGGUGAGUUUAACUCAAUUCCAGAAAGAAUUUUGCUCUUCAUGUGCUCCAACUUUCUCGCUGUUUUGUAAUCCAAAAUUGUAUGCUUUAAAUAUAGAAGAUCAUGAGCACCUUUGAUACUGUCCGUCAUCUCUUUGUCUUCAUAACCGGGGUCUUCACAGUCUUGCGGUUGAUCGGGCAUGUCAUGUGCUGCCAUGACUUUAGAUUCUUGAAACCGAGUUGAGCCUUGGAGGCUUGCAACUGCAGGUUCUUGUGCAACAAUGGCUUCAACUUCAGUGCCUUGUAAGGCUGCUGCUGCCAAUUCUUCUUGCGCAUUUUCUGCAGGCUCAUUAUUUCCUUCCAACUCGUCAUUGGAGGAUUCAGAAUUGGAAAAGGCUGCUGCAAAUUCAUUUGGGGGGUCAUCAUUAUGAUCAUCAGCCAUUAUGCUUCUUCUGAUCGCAAGAGAAAAAUGUUUCUUUGGGAGAUUAUAUUAAUUUGGUUGAAGAGAAAUGGGAAAUGAAAGGCAGUAGACGUGCACAGGAAUCCACAACCGGGCCGUUUUCCACCUUCUGCGCCUUUCCUUUGAUGUAGGAC
Prunus dulcis (almond) is the source of this 1278-nucleotide long non-coding RNA. RefSeq lists it as uncharacterized. The transcript is spliced from 3 exons. The record is from RefSeq and is a predicted model, not a curated record. NCBI's taxonomy places the organism in Eukaryota, Viridiplantae, Streptophyta, Magnoliopsida, Rosales, Rosaceae.